This is a long non-coding RNA of Olea europaea var. sylvestris, 2386 nucleotides long. RefSeq lists it as uncharacterized. The transcript has 2 exons. Lineage: Eukaryota; Viridiplantae; Streptophyta; Magnoliopsida; Lamiales; Oleaceae. The record is from RefSeq and is a predicted model, not a curated record.
AUUAGUCCACUUGCUCCUUACUGUGGCUAGCCUUCUAAUUUUACCCUUCCACAUCUCACACUCAAACCCCCACUCUCCCAUUUUUAUAGAAACGAAAUUCCCCAAUCGGCCAAUAAUUUCUUCCUCUUUCAUCGGCGACGACGGCGUGGAUUUGACUGGAAAUUCCCUACAGGUUCAAGAGAACUAUGUAUCCAUAUUCUACCUCGAUUAGUGUCGAAAAUCUACCUUUCUUUUUCUAUGGUUUUACAAAUCGAAUUCCUCUUACAAAAUACGUGAUGAUGGCAAAAUAGUUCGUAAAAGUAAUAUUAACUUUGAGCUAUCUGUUUAGUAACAUAAGAUAUCUACAACAUAGCAACAGUUCUUGAUUUUCUCCUGCACUUACCCUUUUCUUGGUGAAGUAUCCUAAUAUUCUGACUUACGCAUAUAAAUUGGAACUAGAAUUUAAAAUUUUGUUGUUUGAUUCCUUCUUUUUUUCAAUUUUGUAAAGAAAUCAGACUAUAAUAUGCUUCUAAAUGUUUUCGAAUCGGGGAUUUAUAUGAAUUUUGAUCUUCAUUAUGUAAUUACAAGUGUUUGUAAUUUUCCUUGGAAUAUUGUUUUGUACUAAAUUUUUGAAAUUUUUUAAUGGCGUUUAUGGUAUAAUUAUAUGUUAUUGAGCAAAGAGGAUUCCUAGGUUUGUUUUGGAAUGGGAACGCAUGAAUUUGUGAUAUAAUGUUUUGUUUGCUUUUUAAUAAGGAUAUGCAAUGAGAAAGAUUGUUUUUGACGUUACAUGUUUCCUUCGUUUUGAUUUCAGUUUUCAGUGCUCAAUUUGUUUUCUCAGGGUUCAUGUUAGUAUUUUUUUGUUGAUUAAUUCUUUUAGGUUCUUUCAUAUGGGGUCUGGAAUGACGAGAAUUUGAAAUCAUGUUCUAUUCUUAUUAUUGAAUCUGCAUCACAUGUCCGACGACUUGCACAUCUAUGUUACUUGUUCUAAGACUUCGUUGCACAUAUUUUGCAAAACAAUUUCUUCAGGAUAAGUUCCUAAGCCGAUACUAACAAGCCAAACUUACUGUUUUUUCUUUUUCAGACUCUAUUUCCUUUCUAGUGGGCAAUACUUGUAGUGUUGUUAUAAAUUUAAAAUUUUGUAUGUAUACAUGUACCAAAACUCUGCAUCUCGUGUAUAUUUCAUUUUCCUUCUCAGACGCAUAUGGACUUCCACACUGCCUCAACUUCCAACCCCUAACCAAUCUCGACCCAAGCCUGUGCAAAGAGGACUGCCCAGUGGAUGCCAGAAGAUAAUCGAGUCUUCAUUAUCGCUUGUGAGAUCGUAAUAGUCGACGAGCACUGUAGUGGGAAGUGCUUCACGAAACAUGGCUGGCACACAAUUGUCCAAUUGGUCAACACCAUAUCCGGGCAUGAUUGGAGUAGGCAGCAGUUGAAAAAUCAUUAGGAUUAUCUUCGGGUCAAGUAUAAACGUCUCCAGAACUUGACAGAUAGCACCGACUUCGCAUACGACUCUGCACGUGACCACCUAGUCGAGUCCGAUGAGUGGUGGGUGCAAAAGAUUAAGGAGAACAAAGAGUUCAAAGACAAAGACUGUAGAGAGACAUAUGCCUAUCGACUUUUGUUCGUCGACACGUUUGACAGCGAGAAGUAUGCAACGACGUUGACGAAGCUGUGCAGGACUGGGUUUGCUAUGUUCGAAGACAGUGCAAACGACGACACGCGUGAUACAAUGCCGAUGUACGAAGAGAGCAGCGGCUCCAAUGAUGAGGGUAACAAGUUAGACAGGUCCACAUCAAGCAUGGACGUCUCCGACCGUAGGAGUGAAGAGAAACGUAGAUCCGAAGACAGUAAAAGCAAGGAAAAGAGAACUAAAAUAUCGGCUAAGGAAUUGUCGUACUCAGUUGAUUGAGCCACAACUUAGUCGGAUCCAAUGUUCCGAGCAUGAAGACAUGCAUGAAAGAGUUGUUCGCAACGCGCAUGAUGCAAAAGUAAACUUACCUCUACUUUUGGACCUGCACGUUUCUGUCUUUAAAGUGGAACAUGGAGGUUCUCGAGAUGCAGGAGGAUGCGAACGAGAAAAUGGAUUGGUUGGAGUAGAACUGGCACGAGUAUAGGAAAAGACGACCGCAAUGAGAACUGCGUGCGGGGCUGAAUAAAUUUUAAACGUUAUAGAGGGUCUUCGUGGAACGAGUAUUUGCUUUGUUAUUUUUUUCGUUUUAGUUGGUUUGCGAUUCGUCAACUUCAAAAUGUUGUUGUCGUGUAUUUUUUGUAUCCAUGUAUGUAGUAGGAACUACUGAGAUUUCAUGUCCAUGUUUGUCGUUUGUACUUAUACAAUGUUCACAAAACUGCUUGUUAGUUUGAGUUUGUCAACAAUUGUCAUGCAUAAUUGAGCAUCUCUGACAACCUA